UGCCAGCCGCCGCGGUAAUACGAAGGGGGCUAGCGUUGUUCGGAAUUACUGGGCGUAAAGCGCACGUAGGCGGACUUUUAAGUCAGAUGUGAAAUCCCAAGGCUCAACCUUGGAACUGCAUUUGAAACUGGGAGUCUAGAGAUCAGGAGAGGUUAGUGGAAUACCGAGUGUAGAGGUGAAAUUCGUAGAUAUUCGGAGGAACACCAGUGGCGAAGGCGGCUUACUGGACCGGUACUGACGCUGAGGUACGAAAGCGUGGGGAGCGAACAGGAUUAGAUA
RNAcentral lists this ribosomal RNA (279 nucleotides) under uncultured bacterium. RNAcentral's name for it is "partial 16S ribosomal RNA". It matches the Rfam family "Bacterial small subunit ribosomal RNA", at positions 506 to 784 of the family's 1533-position model. The record is from RNAcentral.